This 255-nucleotide ribosomal RNA is filed under the name uncultured bacterium. RNAcentral's name for it is "partial 16S ribosomal RNA". It matches the Rfam family "Bacterial small subunit ribosomal RNA", at positions 524 to 776 of the family's 1533-position model. The record is from RNAcentral.
UACGGGGGGGAGCAAGCGUUGUUCGGAUUUACUGGGCGUAAAGGGCGCGUAGGCGGCCACCGCAAGUCGGUUGUGAAAUCUCUGGGCUUAACCCAGAAAGGUCAACCGAUACUGCGGGGCUAGAGUGCAGAAGGGGCAACUGGAAUUCCUGGUGUAGCGGUGAAAUGCGCAGAUAUCAGGAGGAACACCGAUGGCGAAGGCAGUGGUCUGGGCCGAUACUGACGCUGAGGAGCGAAAGCGUGGGGAGCGAACAGG